Non-coding RNA from Paramuricea clavata, 207 nucleotides. Lineage: Eukaryota; Metazoa; Cnidaria; Anthozoa; Malacalcyonacea; Plexauridae. The record is from the annotation of a GenBank genome assembly.
AGUUCCGUAUGGAUUGCGCAGUCUACUUCGUGAUAUGGUGGAACGACCAUCAGAAGUGAACGAGAUAUUGGGGUUACUUAUACCGGGCAAUAGUAAAGUUGGUGUGAUCGGAAGUCAAAGCGGCGACAUUUUUGGUAUCCGUGGAAUGGGCGGCCUGGGUAAGACCGUCUUAGCCCUGGCUGUUGCUUGGGCUGCUUCAGGUUCUCG